This 253-nucleotide ribosomal RNA is filed under the name uncultured bacterium. Its description in RNAcentral is "partial 16S ribosomal RNA". It matches the Rfam family "Bacterial small subunit ribosomal RNA", at positions 524 to 776 of the family's 1533-position model. The record is from RNAcentral.
UACGUAGGGGGCGAGCGUUGUCCGGAAUCAUUGGGCGUAAAGGGCUCGUAGGCGGUUUGUCGCGUCGGGAGUGAAAACACUGGGCUUAACUCAGUGCUUGCUUCCGAUACGGGCAGACUAGAGGUAUGCAGGGGAGAACGGAAUUCCUGGUGUAGCGGUGAAAUGCGCAGAUAUCAGGAGGAACACCGGUGGCGAAGGCGGUUCUCUGGGCAUUACCUGACGCUGAGGAGCGAAAGUGUGGGGAGCGAACAGG